AGAGUUUGAUCCUGGCUCAGGACGAACGCUGGCGGCAGGCUUAACACAUGCAAGUCGAACGAGAAAGCCCCUUCGGGGGUGAGUACAGUGGCUCACGGGUGCGUAACGCGUAGACAACCUGCCCUUGAGUGGGGGAUAACCACCGGAAACGGUGGCUAAUACCGCAUAACAUCACCGCCCCGCAUGGGGCGAUGAUCAAAACUUCGGUGCUCAAGGAUGGGUCUGCGUCGGAUUAGCUAGUUGGUGAGGUAACAGCUCACCAAGGCGACGAUCCGUAGCUGGUCUGAGAGGAUGAUCAGCCACACUGGCACUGAGACACGGGCCAGACUCCUACGGGAGGCAGCAGUGAGGAAUCUUGCGCAAUGGAGGAAACUCUGACGCAGCCAUGCCGCGUGAAGGGAGACACCCCGCUGGGGCGUAAACUUCUUUUGUAUGGGAAGAAACGUGGGCUCAUGCCCACCUGACGGUACCGUACGAAUAAGGACCGGCUAACUCCGUGCCAGCAGCCGCGGUAAUACGGAGGGUCCAAGCGUUGUCCGGAAUCACUGGGUGUAAAGGGUGUGUAGGUGGACUUAUAAGUCAGAGGUGAAAGCCCACGGCUCAACCGUGGAAUUGCCUUUGAUACUGUAAGUCUUGAGUCCUGGAGGGGCUGUUGGAAUUCGUGGUGUA
RNAcentral lists this ribosomal RNA (669 nucleotides) under uncultured bacterium. Its description in RNAcentral is "bacterial SSU rRNA". It matches the Rfam family "Bacterial small subunit ribosomal RNA", at positions 8 to 677 of the family's 1533-position model. The record is from RNAcentral.